AUUGAACGCUGGCGGCAGGCCUAACACAUGCAAGUCGAGCGGAUGAAGGGAGCUUGCUCCUGGAUUCAGCGGCGGACGGGUGAGUAAUGCCUAGGAAUCUGCCUGGUAGUGGGGGAUAACGUCCGGAAACGGGCGCUAAUACCGCAUACGUCCUGAGGGAGAAAGUGGGGGAUCUUCGGACCUCACGCUCUCAGAUGAGCCUAGGUCGGAUUAGCUAGUUGGUGGGGUAAAGGCCUACCAAGGCGACGAUCCGUAACUGGUCUGAGAGGAUGAUCAGUCACACUGGAACUGAGACACGGCCCAGACUCCUACGGGAGGCAGCAGUGGGGAAUAUUGGACAAUGGGCGAAAGCCUGAUCCAGCCAUGCCGCGUGUGUGAAGAAGGUCUUCGGAUUGUAAAGCACUUUAAGUUGGGAGGAAGGGCAGUAAGUUAAUACCUUGCUGUUUUGACGUUACCAACAGAAUAAGCACCGGCUAACUUCGUG
Molecule: ribosomal RNA, 484 nt
Filed under: uncultured bacterium
Lineage: Bacteria
Description: partial 16S ribosomal RNA
Rfam family: Bacterial small subunit ribosomal RNA
Source: RNAcentral